Molecule: ribosomal RNA, 505 nt
Filed under: uncultured bacterium
Lineage: Bacteria
Description: partial 16S ribosomal RNA
Rfam family: Bacterial small subunit ribosomal RNA
Source: RNAcentral
GACGAACGCUGGCGGCGUGCCUAAUACAUGCAAGUAGAACGCACAGUUUAUACCGUAGCUUGCUACACCAUAGACUGUGAGUUGCGAACGGGUGAGUAACGCGUAGGUAACCGGCCUGGUAGCGGGGGAUAACUAUUGGAAACGAUAGCUAAUACCGCAUAAUAUUGAUUAUUGCAUGAUAAUUGAUUGAAAGAUGCUAUUGCAUCACUACCAGAUGGACCUGCGUUGUAUUAGCUAGUAGGUGAGGUAACGGCUCACCUAGGCGACGAUACAUAGCCGACCUGAGAGGGUGAUCGGCCACACUGGGACUGAGACACGGCCCAGACUCCUACGGGAGGCAGCAGUAGGGAAUCUUCGGCAAUGGACGAAAGUCUGACCGAGCAACGCCGCGUGAGUGAAGAAGGUUUUCGGAUCGUAAAGCUCUGUUGUAAGAGAAGAACGGGUGUGAGAGUGGAAAGUUCACACUGUGACGGUAUCUUACCAGAAAGGGACGGCUAACUACGUG